Molecule: long non-coding RNA, 4786 nt
Organism: Phyllopteryx taeniolatus (common seadragon)
Lineage: Eukaryota; Metazoa; Chordata; Actinopteri; Syngnathiformes; Syngnathidae
Exons: 4
Source: RefSeq, a predicted model, not a curated record
UUGUCUAGUGUUCAUAUCUAUGGACAACACUGGUCUCAGCCGGAAUCACACGCUCUUCUCCACUUCUACGUGCUUUAUUAAAAAUGUCAUGAAUUUGCAGCGAACGUGCUGAAUCCUUGUCACACGAAAAUGUGUGCAAGAAGGACACCAGAGUACAAGGAGGAACUUUGUGGACCAAAAGAGGAGAAUGAGCCACAACAUCAACUACUGGACGCUAUAUUCAAUCUGCAGCCUCGAAUUGUGCUGCACAGAGCAGACGUCAGUCGAGAUCUUCGUCCUGAGUGGCCGAAGCCAGACUCUCUCACAUUAAAGAGGAAGAGGAGGACAAAGAGGUUUGUCACAUUAAAGAGGAAGAAGACUUGAAGUCCUGCCACAUCAAAGAGGAGGAGGAAGAGUUCCUCCACGUUAAGCAUGAAGAAAUCAUUCAGGUUCCUGUGACUGGUGUGUCUUUGAAGAGUGAAGAUGAAGGUCAAAGUGAGGAGAACAGAGGGGCGCAGCCUCCAAGCAGCUGCUCAAGUCGACACAUGACAACGGAAGGUGAUGGAGAUCGCUGUGAAGAAUUACAAGCAGACGGCCUCUUAGCUCCACUAUCAGAUAGUGACGACAUGACGUCACACUCUCCUCGCACGGAUGAUGAUGAUGAUGAGGAUGAUAAACAGUCUGAAGGUGGUGAGACAUCUCCCACUGACAACAAACGAUGGAAAUGUUCUCAGUGUGGGAAAACCUUUGCCUAUAAGGGAAAGUUGAAACAACACAUGAGAACACACACUGGAGAGAAACAUUUCGCCUGCUCAGUUUGCGGUCACAGAUUCACCAAGAAGGGCGACUUGACAAGUCACACAAGAACCCACAAUGGUGAGAAACCUUUUGCCUGCUCAGUUUGCGGUCAAACAUUCUCAGCAGAGGCAAACUUAAAAGUACACACAAGAACCCACACUGGUGAUAAACCUUUUGCCUGCUCAGAUUGUGGUCAAAGGUUCUCUAUUAAGGGAACCUUAAAAAAACACACAAGAACCCACACUGGUGAGAAACCUUUUUCCUGCUCAGUUUGUGGCCAAAGAUUCUCUCAGAAGGGAACCUUAAAAGUCACACAAGAACACACACGGGUGAGAAACCAUUUGCCUGUGCAGAAUGUGGUCAAAGAUUCUCCGAAAAAGGAAGCUUAAAAACACACACAAGAACACACACUGGAGAAAAAGCUUUUCCCUACGGAAGCGUAUUGCAUUCACUUGGAUAAAAAAAAAAAAAAAACUCCUGUUUUUCUGAGUAAUUUAAAUAGUCUGAAAAAAAAUUAGUCCGAAAAACAGAAAAAAAUAGUCAGAAAAAAUUACUCAGAAAAACAGGAGUUGUUUUUCUGUAGUACGGAAGCGUAUUGCAUUCACUUGGAUAAAAAAAAAAAACAACUCCUGUUUUUCUGAGUAAUUAUUUGGAGGGCUUUGUUUUUCUGUCUAUUUUUUUCCUGUUUUUGGGACUAAUUUUUUUUCCGCCUGUUUUUCUGACAAUUUUUUUCUGUUUUUCGGACUAAUUUUUUUUCCGCCUGUUUUUCUGACUAUUUUUGUUUCUGUUUUUCGGACUAAUUUUUUCCACCUGUUUUUCUAUUUUUUUCUGUUUUUCGGACUAAUUUUUUUUACACCUGUUUUUCUGACUAUUUUUUUUCUGUUUUUCGGACAAAUUUUUUUUUACACCUGUUUUUCUGACUAUUUUUUUUCUGAGUUAUCGGGACACAUGAACUCACGCGAGAACCUGCGAACUGCAAGUGACUCUUUGCGGACUCACUAAUGGCGGAUUACUGCUCGCACACCUUCAACCUGCCCAUACUCGUUUACAUUACCGCUUCAAUUAAGGUAAGUCACAUAAUGAGUAACACACAUUGUAUAAUACUCUUAAUACUUUAGUUUUAGACUGCAUACUAUUCUAAUGUAAGCCAAUAUUUACUAUAUGGUUUUAUGUAGUAAGUAAGUAAUAGACGAAGUCGAACGUCUCCUCGGCAUGAUUUCAGUAAGGUAACAGUUACUAUAUGUUUAGCUGAUGCUGUUCACUGCUCGUCCUUGACUUGACAACAUGCUUUUCAUCAUAACGUUAGUAUACAAUAACAUUACGCUUCCGUAAGUAGAACGAGACAUUCGUUGUAACGUUAGUUUAUAUACUAAGUAUACACUAACACUCCAGAGGCAUAGUAACAGUGUUAAUUGUUUAACAUGGGGCACGUAAGCAUGUAAACAACAAAGAACGUUGCCAGUAGACUUGAAAUACUGUUAACAACAACAACAAAACUGAUAAAAGCCCAUAUUGAUCUGCUGAGUUUAGUCUUUUGCACUAUUAGAGUGCCGUAAUGUUAUUAUUUUUGAAUAACCAGUCAAGGCUUUCAUUACACAAGGACACAACACAAAUCAGUUUUGGUGGUGAUUUGAGUAAGCACAUUAAAAUGUUUGCAAAUGAUUACACAUAUAGAUGAUGCCCUUUUCCUACAUUUUUUCAUUGCCAGCAUUGCAAUGGCUACAUCCUCAACCCCUGGCCUCCCACAAGAUGAUGAUGGUCUGUGGGAAUUUCUACGCAACAGAGGUGUUCAUGAGGAGAGUAUUCAGAAAAUUAAACAAGAUCAUAUUGACAGCUCGAUAAUUGGAGAAAUAGAUGAUGCUGCUAUUGCCUCUUACAUUCCAGCCUAUGGUGAUAGGAUUGCUACAAGGCGUUUCUCAGUGGAAAAACAGAGAAGAGGUGGAGAUGAUACAAAAAGACUUUCCUUAUUCCAAAAACUUAGUAAGAAAAUGGGCACAAUGGGUAACAAAGCCUGUGAUCAUGGUUUUGAGGGAGAGAGAGAGAGAAUACAGUGAAACCAACAAAUGUGUACCUACAAAAUAAUAAGCGAGCCUGGAAGACAACCAGAAAAAUAGAAUUAGGGUGGAUACAUAACAACAAACAAGUCAGAAAACGCAGCGGUGGAGGAACCAGAGUUCUGGAUAUUAACAAGAAUGCCACUAAAACUGAGAUCCUGUCUCAAGCAAAACAACUGUUUUUCCCAAAUGAGAAGUCAACAAUGGGAAAGUGGGAAGAGUUCAGUCAUGACAUCGUUAACUUUCAGGAAGCACAAGUUGAUGAGGACGUAAGUGUGCGGGAGUGUUAUGACACACACAAAUUAGCUUUGUUAAGAUUUAUUUGUUCACAAAGACCCUUGCCGGUGGAGAUGACCAAGAGGAAGGAGCUGACAUACCGACAGAUGAGCAACAUGAAAACUCAACAGAAUGUGGACAAAAGAAACAAACAAUGGAAAAGGUGGAGCAGCUGACGUGGAAAAGACAUAGCAGUGAAAUAAGUCAAAUCCACACAACGGAAGAUGAUGAGCUGAGCACUGCAGCUGUUCAGAUUAUUGAUCUUACGUCUUUGUGUAAUACAUCAGAGGUCAGUUUUGGUCCUUUGACAGGGGGUCCAUUUUUAGGUGAUCUUGAUGAUACACUCUUAAAUGAUCCAAACCUUGCAAUAGAAGACGAACAACUAAACAUCCCCACUUACACCUCAACUCCUAAUGAUGCUGAGACAGCUUUUGGUAGACCACCAAGUCCUUCCUUUGAACUUUUACAUGUGACUGUGAAACUUCACCGAGUAACUCUCUUAGAUGAACUUAUUACCCAAUUCAAGGAUGAAGCAGUGAUGACAAACUCUGUGAAAUACAGCUUCAUCGAUGAAAUGGGGGCAGAUGCUGAUGGUGUGUCUAGGGAUGUAUACGCUCCCUUCUGGACAGAAUUCCUAGACUGUGCAGCAGAAGGUGCAGAUGUGAGGGUGCCAUCGCUCUCCCCGAAAUGGCAAGAGGAAGAAUGGAAAUCUGUUGGCAGGAUAUUGGCCAAGGGACUGAACGACCAUGGGUAUUUUCCAUGUCGGCUGGCACAAGCCUUUACGGCAGCCAUCAUAUUUGGUGAACACUCCGUUUCAUCUGAUUUACUGUUUGACUCCCUGAUGUUGUAUCUUAGUCAAUCUGAGCGUCAUCUUUUGUCCACUGCUUUGCAAGAAGCCGUUAUCGGCGAUGAUGAGGAAGAGUUUCUAAUCUUAUGGAUCGCAUGGGAGUAAGAACAGUACCGACACAAGAUAACUUGAGAGCUGUGCUUAUCCAGGUUGCCCACAAGCAAAUCAUCCAGCAUCCAAAAUAUGCAUUGGAUAAUCUUGCAGAGGUUGCAGGACCAACACUCAGGAAGUUUUUCCCUAAUGUAGAGGAUAUGAAGAAGCUGUUUGAGGACAUUAAACCGACAACAGGAAAGGUGAUUAAAAUGAUAACAGCUUUUCCAGCUACUUCAGCAGAGAACCAAAGUUUGCGAUUUUUACAUCAGUACAUAAGGGGAUUGGAUGAAAUAAGUCUCCGGAAGCUGAUGAGAUUUCUGACCGGGUCGGAUGUUAUCUGUGUAAAAGAAAUUCAAAUCACUUUCACCUCUUUAGAAGGGCUAGCACGGCGGCCAAUUGCCCAUACUUGUGGCCCAACAGUGGAGCUGCCAUCAACUUACAGUAGCUAUCCUGAGCUUGGAGCUGAAAUGGAGGCAAUAUUGUCCAGCAACACUCAUGCAAUGGACAUAGCAUAAGAGUAAGUGACUGAUGUUCACAUACACAUUUUUCUGUUCCCCAUUCAGCCACCUAUGAUUGUUUAGACUGUGAAUGUGGGCUAUAGCAUAUAAGGAGAAUAUUUUGUUAGCUUAGGGUCUGUGUAAGUAAUGCAAGAAACAAUAACUCACACAAGCACAGAUUGAUUGAAAAUGUUCUUUCUACCCUUUCAACAAUUCACUUUUGUUAUCAGUCUAGGAUGGAU